UAUGAAAGUCAUACCUUACGUGGACUCAGCACAUUACAAUUUACAAAGUAUUUGCACAUCUACAAACUCAUUGGAUCAUUACAACGUGAUGUGCUGAGCCAUAGGUAGAGCCCAGUACCCAGGACAAAGCAAAGCAAAGCUGCUAGUAUGUGUACUCCAGGAAGUUUCACCAUUGACACAGUAAAGGGAGAGAAGGUGUCUCGGUUCUGGAACUGUACACCCAGUGAGCUCUCAGCUGGAGCUCGGGCAGGAGAAUCCUUUGGGGAUUUGACAGAUGGGUAUUUGUGCAAAGGUGCCAUUUACAUACUGUUACGGCCAUCACCAAGGCUCUCUAGGGCAUAGCCUCUUGGGGGAAGUCUUGGACCUGCUGGAAGAACUGGGAUGUGAGCCUGAACCCAUUUUCCAACUUUCCACCCAAUACCUUUGCUAGACUUGGUAGAGUCAGGACAUGAUAAGAAGGCUGGGAAGAACAACCAUCACUCCAGGACAAAGAAACAGGAGAAAAGGAAGCAGAAUUCAAAUCAAACAGUGACUUGGAGCAUCUAGGAACAAAGCCAACCAAUAAAUAAUCUAGUUACAGACUGUGGUACCUGCCUCCCCCCAGGCAGUGGCAAGACGUCAGGCUCCUGAUGGCUCCCGCAACCCACGUGUAGCAGAGAUGGGCAUAUGGUGAAUGCACAAUCAAUCAAUAGUCAGUUGUCAAAUACAGCAUGUGGUACAGCAGGAACAUGUCAGAACCGGGAAGCAGCGAUAGAACCUUCCUCCUCCCUCACUGAGUGAACAGAGCUUUACACUUCCCCUCAUGGACCCAGAUCCCCACCAAAGUGGCUCACCCAAACCCUUCCAGGUCUUCACGUCUUCCUGGACCUGAAAGACAGAUUGGCUUCCUAGGGCCAUUUUCUAAAAAGAGAAAGGGAGUUGCUCAAUAGAUUUCAUAUCUGCAUCCCAGGAGAGUUAUGGUCGUGUUGCAUGGAUGUGUGGAGGGUCAUCCAUCACCCACAGACACCAGACAGCUCCAGAGAACAACUGACUUCUGUGUUUCCCUCAAGGAAACAUCUUUUUGCAAGAAACAAUGUCCCUUUGAAAGUUACUUUUAGGAGGGAAGUGAAGAUGGAUAUACGCAGUGUAAAGCCCAGGAGAGCCUCCUGAUAGGCAGAAGGCAAUUACUCCAGCCCUGUGGCUGUCCCUUGAACAGCUCUUCUCGUGUCUGCAGAGGUCCAGCCAAGGAUGACAGAGGUGCUUGGCCAAUACCUGUCCAACUGAGGUCCCCUGACCAUUUGCAUCAAACUCACCUUGGGAGCUGAAAAAAGGAAAUAAGGCAAAACCUGAGCCCCAGAGCAAACCAAUUGAAUCAGUCUGCUUUUUUCCUCCAGCUCCUCUGGUGACAUUUAUUCACCUUGAAGUUUUAGAACCGCUAAGUUAGAAGCUCCAAUUCCCUUCCAAAGGAAGACAGGCCAUUAGGUAAAUAGAGACUCUCAGAUUAUUUUCAUUUGGAAACACUUCUGGGAGCUCAAAUCUCUGGAGGUGCAGGGCCGGUGCCUUCAUCUAUGCCCCCAUUUAGUGGCUUUGCAGGGACAGGGUAGCUGGUGGACCUUCAAAUGCUGUUGCCAUGGGAUAUUCACAUUCAAAGGAAAUCCUGAACUGGAAGAAUUCCCAGUGGGUCCCAUGGUGAGAAUAUGCUCAUCUUGCAUGAGAAGAGAAAUAAAAAUAGGAAGCCUGCAGAGGUUUAGCACUCUCUAUUUCCCUAGGAAAGCAAGUCAGUUAGCAGGUUGCUUAGACAUUCUCAAGCCAGACAGGUUCCCCAAGCAAAACCAGCUUCCGGUUUCAUUUCAGUUUCAAGAGAAGACUCAGGGGAGUGGAGAAGGGGAGGAGAGGUGUGGCAAAGAUCAGGGCUGGCUCCAAAUCUGCAGGUUGCCAGCUGGACUUAAGAAUAUGUGUUGAAAAUUGAGGGGUCUGUGAGUCCUAGCCACCUGUCACUAACUACUCUGUGGCAGAGACAGUUGUGUGUCUCCCCAUACCUAUUUUCUCUGUCUUCUCAGGUACCAGAACCGCUUGCUGUUUAGCUGGGCACAUGGUCGGAGCUACAUGUCUUCCUUGUAGCUAUGCAUGGCCAUAAGUCCAAGCUUUGGUCAAUGGAAUCUAGGUAGAAAAUCAAGUCAGAAUUUCCAGGAUACUCCCUGAAGUUGUUACGCACUUUUUAUUUCUCCUUUUUGUUUUCUUUCUCCAUCCUGUUGCCUGGAGUACAGACAUCACGAUUUCAGGCUGUAAGAUUAAGGCCAGUACAAGGGAGGGAGCAAGAAGGCGGGAAGAACAGGGUCUCUGAGGACUUUCAGGAGCAGAGCUGCCAAAGAGCCUUGGACUGCUUACCUUGGGACUUGACUUACAUAAGAAAAAAAAAAAAUAAACGUCUAUCGUGUUUAAGCCCCAUUUUUUUAAAUGUCUUGCAGCCUUUGAUGUUUUAUCUCCUUAUGGAGGUUAGUGUUUGGCAGUAACAUAGCAGAGCAGCUGAUCAAAGGCACGAGGAAGGCAACAUGUAUUUCAUGGGAGCUGAGUCGAGAAGUUUUAGGUUUAAAUCCUGGCCCUGUCACUCUUGAGCCAUGUGACCUCAGGCAAACCCAGUUACUUACAAGCCUCAGUUAACUAGGGUUAACUUGUAGAAUGGGAAUAAUACUACCUACCCCCAAAUGGCUGUUGAGAAGUUUUGGUCCAUGGAAUUUAGGUGGGAAAUCAACUCAUAAUUACCAGAGGAUAACUUCUUGGCUCAGUGCCCAGUAACAAGAUGCUGUGUUGUGUGUUUUUCUUUUCGAGUUUAACGUCACAGCCAAAUCCUUCUCACUCAACCCAGGUCGUUAGCACUGCUUUCAGAUCUAUAUUGAGAACUUGUUCUGUUUUUAGUGCUCAUUUUUAAGCAAAAUGUGUGGCUUUUUCAGCAUUCAACUCUGUUGAUAUCCACCUGCUGAUUCUUCACAAGGGUUCUUCAAGCUGGGAUCCCCUUCAGCUGUGAGGCACAGAGAUUCGGUGGACACCAUCAUCUGGGUGUCCCCUUAUCAUAAGAUUUAAAAAAAUCCUGAGGCCAAAAUCAUUUGGCACAUAACACCAACACAUGCACUGUUAUGGGUUUGAGUUCUACUU
This 3132-nucleotide long non-coding RNA is filed under the name Homo sapiens (human). RNAcentral's name for it is "HSALNT0318227". The record is from RNAcentral. Lineage: Eukaryota; Metazoa; Chordata; Mammalia; Primates; Hominidae.